GACGAACGCUGGCGGCGUGCUUAACACAUGCAAGUCGAACGAAGAGCGAUGGAAUCUUGCUUCUAUCAAUCUUAGUGGCGAACGGGUGAGUAACGCGUAAUCAACCUGCCCUUCAGAGGGGGACAACAGUUGGAAACGACUGCUAAUACCGCAUACGAUCUAAUCUCGGCAUCGAGGAUAGAUGAAAGGUGGCCUCUACAUGUAAGCUAUCACUGAAGGAGGGGAUUGCGUCUGAUUAGCUAGUUGGAGGGGUAACGGCCCACCAAGGCGAUGAUCAGUAGCCGGUCGGAGAGGAUGAAGGGCCAGAUUGGGACGGAGACACGGCCCAGACUCCUACGGGAGGGAGCAGGGGGGAAGCGUCCGCAAGGGACGAAAGUCUGACGGAGCAACGCCGCGUGAGUGAUGACGGCCGUCGGGUUGGGGAGCUCUGUUAAUCGGGACGAAAGGCCUUCUUGCGAAUAGUGAGAAGGAUUGACGGUACCGGAAUAGAAAGCCACGGCUAACUACGUG
RNAcentral lists this ribosomal RNA (510 nucleotides) under uncultured bacterium. RNAcentral describes it as "partial 16S ribosomal RNA". It matches the Rfam family "Bacterial small subunit ribosomal RNA", at positions 28 to 507 of the family's 1533-position model. The record is from RNAcentral.